UCGACCCGAAAACUUAAAUGGGUCGGCAUGAACCCGAACCCGAAAUUAAAUGGGUUAGGUUAAGGUUGAAAAUCUCAACCCGAAAACGACCCACUUAACCCGAAAUAAAUUUCAGGUCGGGUCAACCCGAACCCGACCUGAUAAACUCGAACAUUAUACGGUAUAAAAAAAAAACAAACAUGAUGGAUUAAAAUUCAGCCCAAGCCUAAAUACGUAACUAGUAUCUAAAACCCUAAAAUCCUUAAUGCCUCCUCACACAAUCAGCCGUUUAGGCUCUCUCCUCCUCCUCCUCUCUCUCUUCAACUCUAAACUCUUGAAAGUUGAAACCUCAAAUCCAAAUAAAUUAUUCUCGGUUGUUCCCAUCCUUAGAUCUUCCUCUCCUUCAUAAUUUAAGUGUUUAAAGAUUCACCACUUCAACCUUCAAGAUUUGGAUCCUUACACGCCACAAACAUAUCCUCUGCUUCAGCUUGCUUCAAGUCUCUGCUUCAACUUGCUUCAGCUUGCUUCAACAUUGUACAUUAUUUGAGAACUAUGUUGUAUAAAGUUUGUAAAAAAAAAAA
Long non-coding RNA from Chenopodium quinoa (quinoa), 560 nucleotides. RefSeq lists it as uncharacterized. The transcript is spliced from 2 exons. The record is from RefSeq and is a predicted model, not a curated record. Lineage: Eukaryota; Viridiplantae; Streptophyta; Magnoliopsida; Caryophyllales; Amaranthaceae.